Molecule: ribosomal RNA, 440 nt
Filed under: uncultured bacterium
Lineage: Bacteria
Description: partial 16S ribosomal RNA
Rfam family: Bacterial small subunit ribosomal RNA
Source: RNAcentral
CCUACGGGAGGCAGCAGUGGGGAAUAUUGCACAAUGGGGGAAACCCUGAUGCAGCAACGCAGCGUGAGUGAUGACGGCCUUCGGGUUGUUAAGCUCUGUUUUCAGGGACGUUAAUGACGGUACCUGUGGCGUAAUCCACGGCUAACUACGUGCCAGCAGCCGCGGUAAUACGUCGGUGGCCAGCGUUGUCCGGAUUUACUGGGCGUUAGGGGAGCGUAGGCGGUCUUUUAAGUGCGAUGUGAAAUACUCGGGCUCAACUUGAGUGCUGCAUAUCAAACUGGAAGUCUAGAGUGCAGGCGAGGAAGAUGGAAUGCGUAGUGUAGCGGUGAAAUGCGUAGAGAUUAGGAAGAACACCAGUGGCGAAGGCGAUUCUCUGGACGGUAACUGACGCUGAGGCUCGAAAGCGUGGGGAGCAAACAGGAUUAGAUACCCCUGUAGUC